GAUGAACGCUGGCGGCGUGCCUAAUACAUGCAAGUCGAGCGAACAGAUGAGGAGCUUGCUCCUCUGACGUUAGCGGCGGACGGGUGAGUAACACGUGGAUAACCUACAUAUAAGACUGGGAUAACUUCGGGAAACCGGAGCUAAUACCGGAUAAUAUAUUGAACCGCAUGGUUCAAUAGUGAAAGACGGUUUUGCUGUCACUUAUAGAUGGAUCCGCGCCGCAUUAGCUAGUUGGUAAGGUAACGGCUUACCAAGGCAACGAUGCGUAGCCGACCUGAGAGGGUGAUCGGCCACACUGGAACUGAGACACGGUCCAGACUCCUACGGGAGGCAGCAGUAGGGAAUCUUCCGCAAUGGGCGAAAGCCUGACGGAGCAACGCCGCGUGAGUGAUGAAGGUCUUCGGAUCGUAAAACUCUGUUAUUAGGGAAGAACAAAUGUGUAAGUAACUAUGCACGUCUUGACGGUACCUAAUCAGAAAGCCACGGCUAACUACGUG
RNAcentral lists this ribosomal RNA (497 nucleotides) under uncultured bacterium. Its description in RNAcentral is "partial 16S ribosomal RNA". It matches the Rfam family "Bacterial small subunit ribosomal RNA", at positions 28 to 507 of the family's 1533-position model. The record is from RNAcentral.